CCUACGGGUGGCAGCAGUGGGGAAUAGUGCACAAUGGGGGAAACCCUGAUGCAGCGACGCCGCGUGAGUGAAGAAGGAUUUCGGUACGUAAAGCUCUAUCAGCAGGGAAGAAAAUGACGGUACCUGACUAAGAAGCCCCGGCUAACUACGGGCCAGCAGCCGCGGUAAUACGUAGGGGGCAAGCGUUAUCCGGAUUUACUGGGUGUAAAGGGAGCGUAGACGGCAGCGCAAGUCUGGGGUGAAAUCCCAUGGCUUAACCCUGGAACUGCUUUGGAAACUGUGCAGCUAGAGUGCAGGAGAGGUAAGCGGAAUUCCUAGUGUAGCGGUGAAAUGCGUAGAUAUUAGGAGGAACACCAGUGGCGAAGGCGGCUUACUGGACUGUAACUGACGUUGAGGCUCGAAAGCGUGGGGAGCAAACAGGAUUAGAUACCCGAGUAGUC
RNAcentral lists this ribosomal RNA (440 nucleotides) under uncultured bacterium. Its description in RNAcentral is "partial 16S ribosomal RNA". It matches the Rfam family "Bacterial small subunit ribosomal RNA", at positions 338 to 795 of the family's 1533-position model. The record is from RNAcentral.